AGAGUUUGAUCCUGGCUCAGAGCGAACGCUGGCGGCAUGCUUAACACAUGCAAGUCGCACGGGCAGGGGUAACUCUGUCAGUGGCGGACGGGUGAGUAACGCGUAGGUAUCUAUCCUUGGGUGGGGGACAACCGUGGGAAACUACGGCUAAUACCGCAUGAUAACUGAGGUUUAAAGGCGCAAGUCGCCUGGGGAGGAGCCUGCGUACGAUUAGCUAGUUGGUGGGGUAAAGGCCUACCAAGGCUGUGAUCGUUAGCUGGUCUGAGAGGAUGAUCAGCCACAUUGGGACUGAGACACGGCCCAAACUCCUACGGGAGGCAGCAGUGGGGAAUAUUGGACAAUGGGCGCAAGCCUGAUCCAGCAAUGCCGCGUGUGUGAAGAAGGUCUUCGGAUUGUAAAGCACUUUCGGCGGGGACGAUGAUGACGGUACCCGCAGAAGAAGCCCCGGCUAACUUCGUGCCAGCAGCCGCGGUAAUACGAAGGGGGCUAGCGUUGCUCGGAAUGACUGGGCGUAAAGGGCGCGUAGGCGGAUGGUACAGUCAGAUGUGAAAUUCCCGGGCUUAACCUGGGGGCUGCAUUUGAUACGUGCGAUCUGGAGUGAGGAAGAGGGUCGUGGAAUUCCCAGUGUAGAGGUGAAAUUCGUAGAUAUUGGGAAGAACACCGGUGGCGAAGGCGGCGACCUGGUCCUUGACUGACGCUGAGGCGCGAAAGCGUGGGGAGCAAACAGGAUUAGAUACCCUAGUAGUCC
This 748-nucleotide ribosomal RNA is filed under the name uncultured bacterium. Its description in RNAcentral is "bacterial SSU rRNA". It matches the Rfam family "Bacterial small subunit ribosomal RNA", at positions 8 to 796 of the family's 1533-position model. The record is from RNAcentral.